Molecule: ribosomal RNA, 415 nt
Filed under: uncultured rumen bacterium
Lineage: Bacteria
Description: bacterial SSU rRNA
Rfam family: Bacterial small subunit ribosomal RNA
Source: RNAcentral
GCGGAUUGGGGAGGAACACGUGAGCAACCUGCCUUGGAGUCGGGGAAAACCGUUGGAAACGACGGCUAAUACCGGAUGUGGCGCCCGGAGACAUCUUCGGAGCGCUAAAGGGGGCCGCAAGGCUCUCGCUCCUAGAGGGGCUCGCGCACCAUCAGCUUGUUGGCGGGGUAACGGCCCACCAAGGCCUACGGUUAGCUGGUCUGAGAGGAUGACCAGCCCCACUGGGACUGAGAUACUGCCCAGACUCCUACGGGAGGCUGCAGUCGACGAUCAUNUGCAAUGGGCGAAAGCCUGACAAUGCGACGCUGCGUGGAGGAUGAAGGCCUUCGGGUUGUAAACUCCUGUCAUGGGGGAACAGGCGAGGAUACCUAAUACGUAUCUUAGUUGAGUGUACCCCAAGAGGAAUUGGCGGCUA